CAAUAAGCGGAGGAAAAGAAACCAACAGGGAUUGCCUCAGUAACGGCGAGUGAAGCGGCAUCAGCUCAAAUUUGAAAUCUGGCUUCGGCCCGAGUUGUAAUUUGUAGAGAAUGUUUCGGGCGUGGUCCGGUCUAAGUUCCUUGGAACAGGACGUCACAGAGGGUGAGAAUCCCGUGUGAUCGGGUGCCGCAGUCCAUGUGAAACUUCUUCGACGAGUCGAGUUGUUUGGGAAUGCAGCUCAAAAUGGGUGGUAAAUUUCAUCUAAAGCUAAAUAUUGGCCAGAGACCGAUAGCGCACAAGUAGAGUGAUCGAAAGAUGAAAAGCACUUUGGAAAGAGAGUUAAAUAGUACGUGAAAUUGUUGAAAGGGAAGCGCUUGCAACCAGACUUGCAUGCAGUUGAUCAUCCGGUGUUCUCACCGGUGCACUCGAUUGUAUUCAGGCCAGCAUCGGUUCUAGCGGUUGGAUAAAGGCCUUGGGAAUGUGGCUCCUCCGGGAGUGUUAUAGCCCUUGGUGCAAUGCAGCCUGCUGGGACCGAGGACCGCGCUUCGGCUAGGAUGCUGGCGUAAUGGUUGUAAGCGACCCGUCUUGAAACACGGACCAAGGAGUCUAACAUCUAUGCGAGUGUUUGGGUGUCAAACCCAUACGCGUAAUGAAAGUGAACGGAGGUGAGAGCUUCGGCGCAUCAUCGACCGAUCCUGAUGUCUUCGGAUGGAUUUGAGUAAGAGCAUAGCUGUUGGGACCCGAAAGAUGGUGAACUAUGCCUGAAUAGGGUGAAGCCAGAGGAAACUCUGGUGGAGGCUCGCAGCGGUUCUGACGUGCAAAUCGAUCGUCAAAUUUGGGUAUAGGGGCGAAAGACUAAUCGAA
Molecule: ribosomal RNA, 864 nt
Filed under: Satchmopsis brasiliensis
Lineage: Eukaryota; Fungi; Ascomycota; Leotiomycetes; Helotiales; Cochlearomycetaceae
Description: eukaryotic LSU rRNA
Rfam family: Eukaryotic large subunit ribosomal RNA
Source: RNAcentral